RNAcentral lists this ribosomal RNA (1574 nucleotides) under Serratia marcescens. RNAcentral describes it as "partial 23S ribosomal RNA". It matches the Rfam family "Bacterial large subunit ribosomal RNA", at positions 1 to 1616 of the family's 2925-position model. The record is from RNAcentral. Lineage: Bacteria; Pseudomonadati; Pseudomonadota; Gammaproteobacteria; Enterobacterales; Yersiniaceae.
GGUUAAGUGACUAAGCGUACACGGUGGAUGCCUAGGCAGUCAGAGGCGAUGAAGGGCGUGCUAAUCUGCGAAAAGCGUCGGUAAGGUGAUAUGAACCGUUACAACCGGCGAUACCCGAAUGGGGAAACCCAGUGUGUUUCGACACACUAUCAUGUCAUGAAUACAUAGUGGCAUGAGGCGAACCGGGGGAACUGAAACAUCUAAGUACCCCGAGGAAAAGAAAUCAACCGAGAUUCCCCCAGUAGCGGCGAGCGAACGGGGAGGAGCCCAGAACCUGAAUCGGCUUGUGUGUUAGUGGAAGCGUCUGGAAAGUCGCGCAGCAAAGGGUGAUAGCCCCGUACACUAAAAUGCACAGGUCGUGAGUUCGAUGAGUAGGGCGGGACACGUGACAUCCUGUCUGAAUAUGGGGGGACCAUCCUCCAAGGCUAAAUACUCCUGACUGACCGAUAGUGAACCAGUACCGUGAGGGAAAGGCGAAAAGAACCCCGGCGAGGGGAGUGAAAUAGAACCUGAAACCGUGUACGUACAAGCAGUGGGAGCACCUUCGUGGUGUGACUGCGUACCUUUUGUAUAAUGGGUCAGCGACUUAUAUUUUGUAGCAAGGUUAACCGUAUAGGGGAGCCGUAGGGAAACCGAGUCUUAACUGGGCGAUUAGUUGCAAGGUAUAGACCCGAAACCCGGUGAUCUAGCCAUGGGCAGGUUGAAGGUUGGGUAACACUAACUGGAGGACCGAACCGACUAAUGUUGAAAAAUUAGCGGAUGACUUGUGGCUGGGGGUGAAAGGCCAAUCAAACCGGGAGAUAGCUGGUUCUCCCCGAAAGCUAUUUAGGUAGCGCCUCGUGAACUCAUCUUCGGGGGUAGAGCACUGUUUCGGCUAGGGGGCCAUCCCGGCUUACCAAACCGAUGCAAACUCCGAAUACCGAAGAAUGUUAUCACGGGAGACACACGGCGGGUGCUAACGUCCGUCGUGAAGAGGGAAACAACCCAGACCGCCAGCUAAGGUCCCAAAGUCAUGGUUAAGUGGGAAACGAUGUGGGAAGGCACAGACAGCCAGGAUGUUGGCUUAGAAGCAGCCAUCAUUUAAAGAAAGCGUAAUAGCUCACUGGUCGAGUCGGCCUGCGCGGAAGAUGUAACGGGGCUAAACCAUGCACCGAAGCUGCGGCAGCGACGCUUAGGCGUUGUUGGGUAGGGGAGCGUUCUGUAAGCCGUUGAAGGUGGCCUGUGAGGGUUGCUGGAGGUAUCAGAAGUGCGAAUGCUGACAUAAGUAACGAUAAAGCGGGUGAAAAGCCCGCUCGCCGGAAGACCAAGGGUUCCUGUCCAACGUUAAUCGGGGCAGGGUGAGUCGACCCCUAAGGCGAGGCUGAAAAGCGUAGUCGAUGGGAAACAGGUUAAUAUUCCUGUACUUGGUGUUACUGCGAAGGGGGGACGGAGAAGGCUAGGCUGGCCGGGCGACGGUUGUCCCGGUUUAAGCGUGUAGGGGGUGUGACCUGGUAAAUCCGGUUGCAUACUAACCCUGAGGCGUGAUGACGAUGCACUACGGUGCAGAAGUAGUUGAUGCCCUGCUUCCAGGAAAA